UACGUAGGGGGCAAGCGUUGUCCGGAUUUAUUGGGCGUAAAAGGCUUGUAGGUGGCCACGCCAAGUCGGAUGUGAAAUCUCCCGGCUCAACUGGGAGGGGUCAUUCGAUACUGGCGGGCUCGAGGCCGGUAGGGGGAAGUGGAAUUCCCGGUGUAGUGGUGGAAUGCGUAGAUAUCGGGAGGAACACCAGUGGCGAAGGCGGCUGCCUGGGCCAGUUCUGACGCUGAGGCGCGAAAGCGUGGGGAGCAAACAGG
This 254-nucleotide ribosomal RNA is filed under the name uncultured bacterium. RNAcentral describes it as "partial 16S ribosomal RNA". It matches the Rfam family "Bacterial small subunit ribosomal RNA", at positions 524 to 776 of the family's 1533-position model. The record is from RNAcentral.